Molecule: ribosomal RNA, 582 nt
Filed under: Desmonostoc muscorum AUS-JR/DB/NT-009
Lineage: Bacteria; Bacillati; Cyanobacteriota; Cyanophyceae; Nostocales; Nostocaceae
Description: bacterial SSU rRNA
Rfam family: Bacterial small subunit ribosomal RNA
Source: RNAcentral
UCGAACGCGUGAGAAUCUGGCUCUAGGUCGGGGACAACAGUUGGAAACGACUGCUAAUACCGGAUGUGCCGAGAGGUGAAAGAUUAAUUGCCUAGAGAUGAGCUCGCGUCUGAUUAGCUAGUUGGUGUGGUAAGAGCGCACCAAGGCGACGAUCAGUAGCUGGUCUGAGAGGAUGAUCAGCCACACUGGGACUGAGACACGGCCCAGACUCCUACGGGAGGCAGCAGUGGGGAAUUUUCCGCAAUGGGCGAAAGCCUGACGGAGCAAUACCGCGUGAGGGAGGAAGGCUCUUGGGUUGUAAACCUCUUUUCUCAAGGAAUAAGAACUGAAGGUACUUGAGGAAUAAGCAUCGGCUAACUCCGUGCCAGCAGCCGCGGUAAUACGGAGGAUGCAAGCGUUAUCCGGAAUGAUUGGGCGUAAAGGGUCCGCAGGUGGCAAUGUAAGUCUGCUGUCAAAGAAUGAGGCUUAACCUCAUCAAGGCAGUGGAAACUACAUAGCUAGAGUACGGUCGGGGUAGAAGGAAUUCCUGGUGUAGCGGUGAAAUGCGUAGAGAUCAGGAAGAACACCGGUGGCGAAAGCGUU